RNAcentral lists this long non-coding RNA (8606 nucleotides) under Homo sapiens (human). RNAcentral describes it as "HSALNT0408095". The record is from RNAcentral. Lineage: Eukaryota; Metazoa; Chordata; Mammalia; Primates; Hominidae.
GUGCCAUGCCUUUUUUUUUCAAAUAUUUGAAAAUGAAUACCUAUGGCCUUUUAUAAUUUUUUUAAUACAAAGUAUACUGGAGGCAAAGAAAAUAUUCUUUGUAACCCUAAGUCAUAGAUACAUAUUUGAACUUAUUAUUUCCUUUAAAAAAAUUGACUGAAGGCCCUCAGAGAAUAUGGAGGAAAUACCAAGGAAUAAAAGAGAAAGCAUCACAUGUUCAGGUAGUGGACAUCAAUUUACAUAACACACUGACCUACAUUAAAAAUAAUAGCUUAAAAAAAGAAUGAUUUUUAAAUCAUAAAACUAUUUUAAUGUAAUUGUUUCACUUUAAUCAAGGAGGAAAAGAAUGAACAGUGAUGCCAAAGAUAUCACAUCUAGAAUAGAAAAUAUUUGUGUUAAUUUUUGGAAAACCUGUGGUAAUAUUGCUAUGGCUGCCUCAAUCCCAGUACAUUGAAGUUGCAUCUUACUACUUCAGAGUCAACAUCAAGAUUUUUAUUGCAAAAGUUAAACGAUUCUUGAUUUUAUAUGUUACUAUGACCAAGCUCAUUAGCUUAAUAAAAUGUAUAAGCAAUUAACAAAAGCAUCACAUGAAUGUUCCAGAGCAGCAUAAUCCAUUAGAUAGCAGAAAAACAAAAUGUGGUAUACAAGCAAAUUGUAUAUCUAAACAAAUACAUACUAAUAGAUGUAUAUAAACAAAACAUGGUACAUAAACAAAAUGAAUGAUAAACAAAAUGUGGCAUAUACACACAAUGAAAUAUUAUUCAGCUAUAAAAAAGAAUAAAGUUCUGACAUAUGCUAUAACAUGGAUGAACCUUGAAGGCAUUGUGCUAAGUGAAAUACGCCAGAAGCAAAAGGACAAAUAUUGUAUGAUUCCACUUAUACAAAAUAUUUGGAAUAGGCAAAUUCAGAGACUGAAAGUAGAUUAGAGGUUACCAAGGGCAAAAAGGAGAAGGAGACAAAUGUACUAUACUAAUUCAAGAUAUUAACAAUAGGGAAAACUGGUCGGGCUCGGUGGCUCAGGCCUGUAAUCCCAGCACUUUGGGAGGCCGAGGCGGGCGGAUCACGAGGUCAGGAGAUCGAGACCAUCCUGGCUAACACAGUGAAACCUCGUCUCUAAUAAAAAUACAAAAAAUUAGCCGGGCACGGUGGCGGGCACCUGUAGUCCCAGCUACUCCGGAGGCUGAGGCAGGAGAAUGGGGUGCACCCGGGAGGCGGAGCUUGCAGUGAGCCGAAAUUGCACCACUGCACUCCAGCCUGGGCAACAGAGCGAGACUCCAUCUCAAAAAAAAAAAAAAAAACAAUAGGGAAAACUCGGUGUGGAGCAUUUGGGAACUCUCUGUACUAUGUUUGUAACUUUUCUGUAAAUAAAAAACAUUCUGAAACAAAACAUUUAUUAAAAAAAAAAAAAACAGGAUGACAUCCACCCUCAUAAAAAUUUACCCUAUAAACAGAUUAACACAUAUUUUGAAUUUUCUAUGUGCUAAAAUAUACUUACUACAAAUUCAGUAAGUCAAACUGAACCAAGAUUAUAAUAUCCUUGUAAAAUCCCAGGUGUGCAAGGACAAUUUUGGAAAACCUGUUUUGUGCUAUAGCGGUAAAAUAAGGUUAAAUAGCCUGGACUCGUGUGUAUUUGAAGAAAAUUACUUAAGCAAGUGUAAAAUGGUUAACAUUGCAGUAUAAACUAAAAUGUUUUGGAAGAGCAAUUUGAGAAGAACUUUAAUAAAUAAGAACUAUUCUUAUUUUUACCAACUUUUUCAAGGAUGCCAUCAUAUAGAAAUCAUAGAACUACUCACAAAAAGACACAAGGAUUAAGUUUUAACCGCACCAUUUUUUUGUGAAAGGGACAAUCUAAAGUCUUAUUAAUAAAGAAAUGUUAAAUUAUGUUACAUAAAUUAUGAUAUCCAUGAAUUUUCAUUUCACACUAACAGUCAAGUAUUCUGAUGCAUAGUCCAGAGACACAUGUUAAACACUAAAAUUGAUGCUAUUAAAAACAUAAAAUUGAAUGACUUGUGUAUGAAAAGGGGUCCUGUUUAAGCCAUGCAAAGACCAUGGGGCAAGGCAGACAACUCUCUAUGAAUAUGACAGUCAUGACACACCCCAUAAAAAUUACUUAUGACUCAACCAAGAACACAAGCAGUAUGAAGCAAUGGGCAUGCAACAAACUAUAGAUCAUGAAAUAUUAUCAGAACUGUUUCUGAUAUAGCUCUGCUACUGUUACUAUGUUACAUGCACUCUUAUUAAAAAGCCCCCUACAUUAAUUCUAGUAAGUAAAUUUUCUGUUACAAAAGUCCAUAUAGGCAUUUAUACCAUGUGACAUCUGGCAGAAAUAUAUAUAAUAGUAGCAAGGAAAAACAAAAAACCUGGGUAGAAUUAACACAAAAUAGAUUAAUAAAAACAUUCAAGAUGGAGACUAGUAAACUGUUGAAGUAGGGAAGUCAAGAGUCAUGAAAAGUCAUUGACUCAAACAUUAUUAAAAUAGAACCAAAAAAUUUAGAGUAUACAGAAUGGCAUCACAUAAAUGAGUCUAAAUAUAGAUAGGCAGCAAGAGGCACAAUAAAUAGCAACAUUUAUAGUACUUCCACAAUCAAAAUAAUUCUAUGCUAUCACAGGAAAAGACAGUCAAUGACACCAACCAGUGAGUCCAGAAGUCAAAUAGAUGAGAAUUUAGUAUUUGAUGUGUAGAACUUUAAAUAAGUGAGCAGGCACAGGGGUACUUGCCUGCAGUCACAGAUACUCAGGAGGCUGGGUCGAGAGGAUCACUUGAGCCCAGGAGUUCAAAUCUAGCCUGGGCAACAUGGUAAAACCCUGUCUCUUAAAAAAAAAAAAAAAGAGUGAGCAAAAUGUAGAUUUUUCAGUAAAUAGUAUUGGGACAACAGCUAGCCAUUUAAAAUAAAAUGUGAAAUCAUUAUAUGGCUAUCAACCUCAAAAUAAAAUCCAAAAUGAUCAAUAACUUAAAAAUAACUAAAUCAUGAAAGUACUUUGAGAUACUGAUUUCCUCUGACCUACUAAAAGCUAUAUUCAAAGAUUUCCUAAAAUUGAACCAUUUUUGCAUGGUUGGUAUGAACACCACUUGCCCAAUUGUGUAUUGAUCAUAAAUUUGCUCCUGGAUUCUUGUUGCCAAAUUUUUAUUUAUGUUAUUUCCUUAUAUAUCACUAUUAAAAAUAGGCUACAGAUUUUUCAGUUUUUAUCAAGCUAUAAAUAUGCCGACUUCAUAAUAAGACCAUUGUCUUUCAUAUACAGAGACCAUCUCUGGGAAGGUUGAAGGUUGCUUGUAUCUUGUAAGGAGGAAGGAAGAUUGAGAACUGGGAAUCUAAAAGCAGAAAGAAGACUUUUAACUAAAACAACUUUAGUACAAAUUGAAUUUUGUACUAUUUACCAUUUGCACAUAUUACUUUUUUUAAAACAACUUAUAAUCUCAUAUCUACAAAAAAUUAAAAAAUUAGUGGAGAAUGGUGUCCUGCGCCUAUAGUCCCAGCUACUCAGGAGGCUGUGGUGGGAGGAUCACUUGAGGCCAGGAGGUGGAGGUUGCAGCCAGCCAAGAUGGUGCCACUUCACUCCAACCUGGGUGACAAAAGGAAACCCUGUCUCAAAAAAAUAAAAUUAGCCAGGCGUGGUGGCACGGGCUACUCAGGAGGCUGAGGUGGAAGGAGUGGAAGAAUUGCUUGAGCCCAGGAGGUCGAGAUUACAGUGAGCCAUGAUCUUGCCACUGCACUCCAGCCUGGGCAACACAGUGAGACUGUCUCAAAAAAAAGAAAAAGGAAAAAAAAGAAAUGCCACUGGACUGCAACUUAUAAAUGAUUAAAAUGGUAAAUUUUAUGCUAUAUAUAUUUUACCACACACAAAAGGAAAAACAAAUCACCUGGAUCUUCCAAACAUUGUAUAUAGAAAAUUUUUGUUCUCACUCUGGAUACACCUGCCCCAUUCUCCUAGCACCUAGAGGUAACUGCUUUCAUAUCUCAGUGCUAUAUGUUUAAAAAAUAUAAGUAAACAUAUGUUUCACCCAUUUUCUUCCACAGAAGAAAACUCAUUAUAUGUAUUAUCUUUAUAUGCCUUUGUUCACUUAAUAUAGCCUUCAAAUUUUCUAUUACUGCAUAGACUGCCACCUCAUUCAUUUCUAAAGCAUUCUAGUAUUCCAUUGUGAGAAUCUACCAGUUUAUCCAGUCCCUUAUUGAUGAGCCCCUGGAUCGUUUCCAACCUUUUGCUAUUAUAAAAUAUUCUUCAAUGUUACAUAUACAACUUGUUUCACUUUUUCAGCUAUGUAGGAUAAUUCUUAGAAGAGGAUUCACUAGAUCAAAUAAAGGCGACUUUAAUUUUUUUUUCUCCCUUCCCUCCAGGAAGGCCGCCUCUACUCAGCCAGCAGCAGGAAACAGCCUGCUUUGGAGGUCAAAUGGAGGGCUGGGUGGGGCCAGCUCAAACCUUCUAUCCCCAGCUCUUUUGAAAUUCCAGAUCCCUGGCUUUGUCUUAAGCAAAAGUACUGUGGAAGCUGCAGCAUUUCCUCCUCCUUUCCAGAAACUGAGCAAGAAAAGCCACCCUGGAAGGUGUACGAAUGCUGCCUCAUGCCCAACAAGCCACAGGGCCUGGACGCACUAACUGCAGCCCCACAGCCACCACCCACCAGAGCCCAGGGAGAUUCCCCAGGGCAACUAUUACUUUGAUAAAUAUCUCCAAAGUAUCCUUCAUAAGUAUUAUAUUAUUUUGCAUUCCAGCAUUCUAUAAGUGCCAGUUUUCCCACAGUCCUGCCAACAAAGUUCUCAAAUAUUAACUUUCUGUAGUUUUUCACAUUUCUCCUAUAAAUGACUUAAGCAUGCUUUUAUAUAUUAAAGUGCCAUUGGUUUUCCUGGGAACUAUCUGUUCAUGACCAUUGCUCAUUUUUAACUAGGGUCUUUUAAUUUUCCUUAUUUUUUUAGAAGCUUUUUAUAUAUUAAUGGAGAUUAGCACUUAAUGUGUGUUGCAAAUAUUUUUUCCAGUUUCUUGUUUCUCUUUUGACUUCAUUUAGAGCAUUUUGACACAAAAUAUUUUAUUUUUAAAAAAAUUAAUAUUAAUAUUUAAAUAUUUAAAAAUAUUUUUUAUGUAGCUGCAUUUAUGAAUCUUAUUUUAUGGCUUCUAUGUUUGAAGAAAGAAAGAUAAAGAUGUGUUUACAACGCAGUGAGCAAAGGAUAGUUUCAUUAACAAAUGGAAUAUGUAAUUAACUAGGAUAAAGAGUAAACCCUUUUCACUUAAAUAUCAGGUUAAUUAAGAAUUAAAAGACUUUGGAAGUAUAUGAAAAAAUAUACACAAAUAUACUGAUUUGGUCUCAGAGUUCAGAAUUCCUUUCCGAAAAUAAAUCUGUUAGGGACAAACUGCCUCAAGAAGCUUCUUGGUGCUGCCUGCCCCUCCCCACUCUGCAACUCCUCUCCAUGCUGCCCCAAGCCUUUUUACAUUUCUAAGCCCUUAUCUAGGCGCCACAGUGAAGCCAGCAGACUUUACCUAUCAGGCCUCGCUGCUAUAAAGCAAACCCCAAUUACAAACCAUCCGGACCGCACAGAGGGAGGUCGUGGGAAGCAUAAACAAACUUUACCUACAAUCUCCGGUACCAUAAACGUCACAAGGUGAUAAUGUGGCAGAAUAAACCAGCAAACAACCCCGGGAUGCGGCCAUACCAAAGAACUCCCUCAAACUCCCUCCCCAAUAUAAACCCCUCAUUCUGUAAGCUGGCUGCUGCUGCCUCCUUUGUCUGUGAUAAAGCAGCCGGCGGGUUUAAUAAAAGCUUGCCUGAACUUGGGUCUUGCUCUCUUGUCCUUUCUCCCGGCUGAUCUUACAAAAUCAAAAGUCAAAUAUUUACUUAAAUAUGUUAAACUCAAUUAAAUUUCAUGUCAUGACACUUAUCAAUCUUUUAUCUUAGGAAUUCUUCUUUUGGUAUUAGGAAUAAGAAAAGGAUUGACAUGCUUAAUAUCCUUAAUAUUUUAAGCACUCUUUUCCAUUUUUUUUCUUUUUUCUUUUUCUGGUUCAGGUUUGAGCAUUGAUAAACACUCUUUAAAGAGAAACAUUUUAAUGUUUUGGAAGUGCUUUCCAUAGUAAUAAGCCUGUCCUCCCUUGACUCCUCAGCCGAGCUGACUAGCCUAGCUAGGAAAGAGCCAGUCAGGCUGACAGUUAAUAAGAACUCAAGCUCAUGCCUGAAAUUCACAGUGCUUUAGGAGGCUGAGGUGGGAGGAUCACUUGAGGCCCUUAGGUCAAGACCAACCUGGGCAACAUAGCCAGACCCCAUUCUCUAACAACAACAACAAUAACAAAAAUUAGCAGGGGGUGGUAGGAGGCUGAGGCAGGAGGAUCACUUGAACCCAGGAGUUCAAGGUUGCAGUGAGCUAUGAUCACACCACCGCAAUACAGCCUGUGCAACAGCCUGUACAACCCUGUCUCCAAAAAAAGAACCCAAGUUUUCAAUAUGCAUAGCCACAUAUAAACUAGAACUUAAGCUGUAAGGAGUCCUGUGGAAGCAGAAACUCUAAGUAGAAGCCCUAGGGUAGAGAAGGGCAUAGAAAGUCAAACAAGAGAGCAAAACAACCUGAGGCAAGAGGAUGACAAAGCAAAAAUGCAGCGCAAACAUGAACAUGUUGGUGGGCACACACACAUAGUUUCUCCAGAUGCCUUGAUUUCCUAAUAGCUUUCUAGUUCCCCUUACUGAGAGGCAUAGCUACAUACCAGUUCCUUUGGUGGAUUUCCAGUAAAAUCCCUAUCUCCCUUACUGCUCACAAUCCCUUGCAGCCUUGCUAAUUACAGCCCCCUCAUUUGAUCUGGCAUUUGUGUUCUUCACAACAAAAACUUUACUAAAACCAGAGGCAAAAUAUAAAAAUGUAUCUGUCAUAUAAUGAAGAAUAAAUCUAGUCUUUGUCUCCUGUUCCUGGUACAGAGCUUAGAGAGGCUUGGAAUUUCCUGAUUAAUGGAAGUGUCUUUGUUAUUCAUAAGAAGCCCCUUUGGACUAUAUCUGAGUUUAUACUUGGGGGUGACUCAAGGUAGGCCCUCACAUAGUUUGAAAGGACGAGCUGGCCAUGCCAGACAGACCAAGCAUAUGGUUAGAGGGUUGGAACUUUUAGCCACACCCCCAGAUGUUCAGAGAUUAAAGAGGAGCUGGAGAAGGAAGUUAAUCAUGUGGCCAAUAAAACUCUGCAAACUCAAAGUUCAAGGAGCUUCCUGGUGGAUGAACACUUUGUGUGCCUGGUAGUUUGUGUUAACUCUGGGUAGUUAGUGUCAGAAUUGAAAUGAAUUGCAGGAUACCCAGUUGGUGUCAGACAAUUGGUGUCAGAACAGUCUCUAUCACUCAUUAUUCACCUACCAACUAACGAAAUUAUUAACUUUUUUCCACCAAAGUAGUACAUUUUCAUUAAGGAAAAAAAAAAGGAUAACCAACAUGAAUGUUUUGGUGGCUAUACUUCAACAUUUUUAACUCUACUAGGAAAAUGCAUCAAAGAGGUUAUAAAACUUACCUCAAUUUUCGAUAUGGAGGAAAAUACUAUUAUCUAUAUCAAAUUAUGCCCAGAUACCACAGCCAAUCUGUGUUUUUAAAUCUCGUCAAAUGAAAAGGCCUAUUAUUUUAAACAAAUUUCCUAUAUUCUAAUUACACUGAUGUGAAACCACACAAUAAAAAUCUAAUAUUCCCUUGUACUUCUUUCUUAAAGAAUGGUGCCAGGCCGGGCACGGUGGCUCACCCCUGUAAUCCCAGCACUUUGGGAGGCCGAGGCAGGCGGAUCACUUGAGGUCAGGAGUUGGAGACCAGCCUGGCCAACAUGGUGAAACCCCAUCUCUACUAAAAAUACAAAAAUUAGCUGGGCAUGGUGGUGUGUGCCUGUAAUCCUAGCUAUUCGGGAGGCUGAGGCAAGAGAAUCGCUUGAACCCGGGAGGCAGAGGUUGCAGUGAGCCAAGAUUGUGCCACUCCAUUCCAGCUGCAUGCAGCUAGACUCCGUCUCAAAACAAACAAACAAGAAGCCCAGAAUAGGUGCAUGGGCUUAAGAUUUCAUUACUGUGCCAAAUUACAAAUCUAGUUGAAAAAUUGAGUCUAAUACCAGUUACUGCUUACUGUUAAGCUGACAAAUUUAGUUACAAAUAAGAGACACUUGUUCAGGGAAGGUAGAAAACUGAUGAGGUUCUUAAAAGCUUCCUUGACUCCCUUACUAUGCUGAGGGGAUUGGCCACCCAAAUUCUCUAAUUAGAUUCUUGUGAAAUACAAGAUUGCCAAUUGUCUUAUGUAUAGCUUCACAACCUCUUCCUCGUACGUGAUUCUUUUUUUUUUUUUUUUUUUUUUUUUGGAGACAGGGUCUCGCUCUGUUGCUCAGGCUUCAGUGCAGUGGCACUAUCAUGGUUCACUGCAACCUCCACCUCCCAGGCUCGAGCUAUCCUCCUACGUCAGCCUGGGACUACAGGUACCAGCCACCAUGCCCAGCUAAUGCUUUUUAAAAUUUUUAGUACAGGCAGGGUCUUACUAUGUUGCCCAGGCUGGUCUCAAACUCUUGGGCUCAAGUGAUCCACCCACCUUGACCUCCUGAAGUGCUGGGAUUAUAGGUAGGAACCACCGCACCUGGCCUGAUUGUUUUCUUUUUUUUUUUUUUUUUUUUUUUUUUUCAUUUUUUUUUUAU